UCAUUGUGCAGACGUGGUGACUUUUCUGGA
RNAcentral lists this non-coding RNA (30 nucleotides) under Homo sapiens (human). Lineage: Eukaryota; Metazoa; Chordata; Mammalia; Primates; Hominidae. The record is from RNAcentral.